UACGUAGGAUGCAAGCGUUGUCCGGAAUUAUUGGGCGUAAAGAGCGCGCAGGCGGUAACUCAAGUCAGAUGUGAAAUAUCCGGGCUUAACCCGGAGGGGUCAUUUGAAACUGAGUAACUAGAGUACAGCAGAGGAUAGCGGAAUUCCCGGUGUAGUGGUGAAAUUCGUAGAUAUUGGGAAGAACACCGGUGGCGAAGGCGGCUCACUGGCUCGUAUCUGACGCUCAGGCGCGACAGCGUGGGGAUCAAACAGG
Molecule: ribosomal RNA, 253 nt
Filed under: uncultured bacterium
Lineage: Bacteria
Description: partial 16S ribosomal RNA
Rfam family: Bacterial small subunit ribosomal RNA
Source: RNAcentral